Molecule: long non-coding RNA, 1560 nt
Filed under: Helianthus annuus (common sunflower)
Lineage: Eukaryota; Viridiplantae; Streptophyta; Magnoliopsida; Asterales; Asteraceae
Source: RNAcentral
CAUUCAAUACGCCAUGAAUCUAAUCGAUUGAAACUCCCAUGAUUGCUAUAUCAGUAAACGAAAUUCACCACCAAAUGCUAGGAAUCAUACCGUCGCUCAUAAAUGUACAGGAAAAUUCAGUGGCAUGUUCUUGAUCUUCUUCUUUCAGUGGCAUGUUCUUGAUCUUGUUCUUUGACUUGGGCGGUGCAGUGGUCUCCUCCGUAGACGACACAUGAUCAAACAAACAUACAAACUAACUGCAUCAUAAUUCUUCUUCUUCAUCAUCCCAAUCAGUCAGAUGCGGAUCAGGAAGGACAACAAGGGCCUGUACUUUUUUUUUGUACUCUCUUACUUUUUUGCUUUAUUAUGUCAAGAUUUUUGUAUUUUUAUGGUAAUAAUUUGCUGGUUUUUUGGGCUAGCACAACAAAAGCAUCUGGUAAGAAUCAAGUUUAACCAGUUGAUACCCCUAAUCGAUUGUUGGUUUAUAAUUUCCUCAUGACCUUUGCGUCGUUUUUUUUCUACUUCACGAAAUCAGGAUCAAGAACUGCAUCACAUAACUGGUUAAGCUGUCAGGAUCUGUAAGUAGUCAAUACCUUGCUGCUUUGCUUAUGGCUUCCCCCCUCACCCUCGGAGACGUACAGAUCGAAAUUAUCGAUAAAUUAAUAUCUAUACCACGCAUUACAGUUUACAGGAUCUGUUACCAUGACUCUUGCUGUCGUUGCUCUCUAUGCGGAUGGCCCUACAACCAUUGGAGAUGACAACCGUUAUUUGGCGCAGAGAGCAUGACAUACUCCAGUUAAACUGCGACCUUUGUUUGGCACAAGUAACAUGACAUACUCCAGCUCAACUGUUCAUUAAUCUGUAGAUUGACUCAUUUUCAAUGUCAAAUGCUGCACUUCCAAGGAGCAUUAAGGAUCAUGAGCGAAUUAUAUGGCUGGGUGACCUUAAUUACCGCUUUAAUUUGUCGUACGAGGAAACAUGCGAUUUGAUUUCCAAAAAUGCAUUGCUAGAGAGUGAUCAACUAAGACUAGGAGGUGUGUUUGACGGGUGGACAGAAGGCGCAUUUUCCACUGACUUACAAAUACGGGCCGAAUUCAGAUAAAUAUUAUGGCGAGGAUCCUAGAGGUGAAAGGCGUACGCCCACAUGGGGUUGAUGUUGGGCACCAGUUCUUUUCACCAUGUGACAUGGUUACUGUAGGUUUUCAUAACCAUUGUCUCAGUGGAAUUGAUUACAUUGGGGCAAGUUUUCAACAGGUGUGGUUUCCAGCAACUGAACCGUUGGAUGUCAUGUCGGCAAACAGGGGUGGUUUGCGCGGUGGAAAGAGAUAGUUAGAUACCCGGAAAGGGUUGGUGAAGUUGGGAGUGUAAUCGGGUGAGGUCGGAGACGGGUGAGACUUCGGGUCAACUGUGGUUAACGCAAGUAAACAGAGUCAGAUUUGGUGCUUAUAUAUAUACACACAACUUACAUAUGAUUCUUUUUAUUGCUUUAAGAUUUCAACCAUGUAACCACCUCGUAUUGUCGACUCCGCCGAACGCCCGGGUUCCCAUUAUUUCAAAUACUUUAGCUGUUUUAUGAAUUUG